Cheilinus undulatus (humphead wrasse) is the source of this 1405-nucleotide long non-coding RNA. RefSeq lists it as uncharacterized. Lineage: Eukaryota; Metazoa; Chordata; Actinopteri; Labriformes; Labridae. The transcript has 4 exons. The record is from RefSeq and is a predicted model, not a curated record.
AUCUGAUCUUUCCUUACUGGGAAAAAAACAACAACAAGAGAACAGAUCUAGUAAAGUCACACCUUUAUAAUAAAAUAAAUUACAUGGUAAUAUUGACUGUUAAUUGAGCUCAAAUAGAGCGUCAAUGGAAGGGUCUUUAUUGGUCCACACAAAAUAAAGUUAAACUUAUGACAGUGUUAAAAAUUAAAAAACAUGAUAGAGCCGCUGUAACUCUAGAAAAUCUGUGGUCUCCUCUGGAAAGAACUCGGCAGAGUCAGCGUAAUGGCAAGGCAAUACAUAAUGAUGAAGAAUAUGCACUAUAUAUCCUUAAGAAGCACCCAGAGUCACAGGCGUGAAACCCAACUUAGUGGAUAACUUCACCCAUGGUGCAAAUAUGUCUCACAUUUGAUAUUUUGGGAUGUGAUGUGGAAUCAGUCACUCCACUACUUUGGUUGACAGAUAUUUAAGUAGUAGUAAAAGUACUGAUUUUCAGUAGUGUUAAAAAAGUACAAGUACCCAGAAAACUACUUAAUUACAGUAAUUUGGAUAAAUGUAAUGAGUUGCUUUGGAGGGAGGUAUAUCUGGCACAACCUCACCAACUUCUAAGCUGCAUGGAGGAUAAAUAAAGUCCUGAGGGAACUAGAAAUCUCUUGUAGUUUAGGUCUAAUAAAGUUGUGAUUUCUUCUUGUUUCAGUUUCUACCGCUGCGGGGCUCCUGUGCUGAAAAUACGCUUGCCUGGAUGUGUCAUUCCAUCAGGAGUCCUUAACCACCGCCCUGGGUGUCCCUCUGGGGGAAACAAUCGGUCGGGCAGAGGAAGGGAAACAGUAGCUCCGAUGUGAUCUGAGGACAACAACAAUGCCUGGAAAGUUCACCUGCCGUCACAUUCUGCUGUUCCCAGUCAUCCAGGAGACCCACAGGCGAGUGUGGUGAACUGGUUCUUACUUGGAAAAGUGCCUUUAUGGAGUAUUAUCAUCAGAAGAGUUAUUGAGAGAGUUGAAGUAGCGGUCAGAACAUCUGUGCGUUUCUCUUCUUUUGACCUGAAACAACUCGUCUUCUUCCAUAGAUGUCAAACCUCCACGCCUUUCCAAACACAGUCCAGUUCUCAAUGGCUGAUUGUGUUGAAUCCUGUGGAGCUGCUCCUCUGCCUCAUCUUCUUCUGCUCCUGCUACGGCCCAUUGGGUAACAAACAUAGACACACGUGUACAGCCUUCAUAUACAAAACAAAAUGAGUCCUAUGUAAAUAUGGAUUCACACAGUCACUAAUACACACCGGCAUCCAUGCACCAAAGCAGAACGGUAGAGCGGCCUUGUUUCUGCUGAUGCUACAUCUGUAGCGCAGAUGUGCCGCCGCACUCCAAGGUGCCGCUGAGUGCAGGAUGUUUUGCAUUCCCUCUGUGGAACCUGUGAGGCGUUCCUGUGGGCUGUC